GCGGGGCCAUGGGCUCUGGUGGCCGCGAUUCCCGAAACCAGCCCACUUCGCAGGGGACGGCCCCUCCCGGAGGGGGGAGCAAUGCGCCCGGCUCCGCGCCGUUGUCCUCGGGUCAGGGCUAAGUCGUGGAGGUCGGGCGACGCGGACAUGCUCUGGAUUCGGGGACACAGCCCGCCCCACUGAUGCCUGGCGGCGUCGGCGGUCGGACCCACAGGCUCAGACUCUGGCAGGAAGAGAGGGUGGUGGGUGGUGGGGGCUGGAGGUAGCAAGAAGGGCCUGGACCAGACGCGUGGCCUUUUGCGCCUUCAUCCAUUCCUGCAGCGUCACUGAGUGCCGGAUCAGGGGCUCGGGAACUGGAGGUUCGGCCGGAAGUCGGGUUCCACCCUCCGACGUGGUCACGAAUGUAUCAAACAUCAUUCAGUGCUAGGUGGGGUGGGGUGCCCCAGUGAUAAAAGACAUUAGGGCUGGAAUAAAAGCCAAGGAGAGCUUCUUUGGGGACGUGGCUUGAUUCCUGGAAGGGAUGGAAUUUCACCAGGGGGUCUGGAGAAGGAAAUUUCUGGAAGCUGGAGGGCGUGAGCUGUGGGUGUAGUCAAGGUACCAUCCCCCAGUGGAGACUUUGGGAAAGGAGUCCUGUUCGAAGUGAAGUCGUUUAAUACCAAACCGAGGAAUUUGAACUCACAGAACUAUGGAGAGUCCUUGACAAAGGGACAUAAGCCAUCAUUUACUCAGAAUCCACUUGGAGUCAGUCACUGUACUAGGAAUUCGAAAUACGAAAACCAUGAACUCAUAAUCCCUUUUGUAAGCAGCUCGCUGUCUGUUGGAAGAGGCAGACACAACGGCAACAGAGUGGGAUGUUGAACAGACACACGGAGAGCGACGGCAGACGACCCUAACUGAACGCCUGCGCCUGCUGGGUGCUGUAAAGGGCUUCAAGUUUAAUACUAACAAUUGCUCAAGAUGGUAGCUUUAUAGGAGAUGAAGGGAAAUGAGAUUUGCAAAAGCUAAUGUGCCCAGUUUCACACAGUGAGUGGAAGAGCCAGGAUUUGAAUCUCAGUGUAACUGAAAUCAAAGCAGAUAGUCCAUGGACUACACCCUCCUUUCUGUAGCAGGAGAGGUUGCUCCCUCAUUGCCAUCCACAAAACAUAUUUGCUCCGUUGUUUACACACAAUGUUCAUGCCCCGUUUACAUCUGCUUCUGUUUCCUGAUUUCAUUAGCAACUGUCUUGCUAAUGAAGUAAGUGGGGUAUAUGCUGUCACUACCUGUCAUUUCCUAUUGAUAGCCCAGCACAUUGCCUGGUGCUCGGGGGGACGUGCCAUCUAUGCUGUGCCUCCCGUUUGGACAAUGUGGGCUGGAUGCCAGCCACUCCUUUGGAACUUACAGUUUCAAGUACACUUAUUUAGUGUGCAAUCACAAUCUUCAUCACAGAAUAUUUAAUUUCAUAUUUUGCUCUGGUCAUGAAAUAUACAUAAGUGUAUUUAAUAACUAGAUGUUUUUCUCUAGUUGUUUUAUGGUUUUUUUCCCCCCAGAUAUUAGCUCUUUGGGGCAAGGAUCAUGUGUUCUUUUUCCUUUCCAAAGUUUACAGAGUCUAGGCCAGUACUGCGUGCACAUUAAUAAAAGUCAACAGUUUGAGAAUUCAGUAAUACUUUUAAGAACCAUUUGAGAUCUGCAGUAGCAUAUGCACCCACAAAGGCAUGAUCACUUCAGUGUUUUUUUUUUUUAAAGUUUAAGUCAUUGGGUGAGGCAGGAAGACAAAAUUUAGGAAGCAGGCUCUUUCUAUAAGUAGCCAAGGUAACUUCUAUUUGGCUCAUUCAAACAAACAUCCAGGCAACCGAGCGGAAAAAUAGCUCAAUUGUCUAUUUUGCUGAAGGAGAUGUCUGUUCUAAUCUCACUCUCCAGCAAGGUUUGGCUGCUGACCACAUAUGGCCACCGAAGGGUCCUUCAUUUACCAGAUGUCAUGUAGAGUUAAAUUUAGUACUGUUUCCGUUUCAGGGGAAUUCACUUAAUUCAUGAGUAGGAUGAUUGCUGCUUUAAACAAGUUAAAUUAAGCUCCAUUGCUAGAGGGAGACCGUAAAUUGAAUGACCAUCCCCAGCGAAGUCUGAGAGUCAAACAGGAUCUGGCGCUCAAUUUUCAGUAUUUUCAAAGGAGAUUUGGAGCAAAGAGACUUUGGGGAAACACGAUCAUGUUCAUCGAUGUGUUUGGUUUGGAAGAUACCGCAGUUUUCAGGAUAACAUUUAAUCCUUCUAUCGCUACAUCCUGUUUUCAUCUGGAUGUUUUGCUGGUUCAUUACCAUCAGACCUACAGUAACACCUGCCUUUUGUUGUUGUUUCAAUAGUCUAUUUUUGUUUAUGUUAUUUGCAGACUCACAUAAAACACACACACACACACACGAUUUUACCUAGACUCUUUGAAGGUAAGUCUCAAACGUGUCCCGUUACCUCCGAAUACUCUAGUGUACGUUUCCUAAAAACUGGAACAUUCUCUUACACAGCCACAAUGUACUCGUCACAAUAAGAAUGUUAACGUUGAAUAUGCAUGUGUGGAUAUAUAUAUAUAUGAUUAUAUAUCAGUAUAUACACCACUAUGUAUCAUUAUCCAUGUAUGUGGUACAUAAUCUGUUGUCAUCUAAUUUACUGAUCUUUUUCCAAGUUCAUCAGAUGUCAAAAUGAUGUCCUUUAAUAGCAGAACAUCCCCGCUUAUAAGUUGCUUUCAUAACAGUUUAUCCUGCUUUAAUUUGAAAGAGUUCCUCGUUCCUUAUCUUUCAUGACCUUGACGGUUUUUAAGGGUGCAGAUUACCUCUCAGUUUGGGUUCGUCUGACGUGUCCUUUAUAAUUAGAUGAGAUCUUUGCAUACGUGUUGGCAGGAGGAGCACAGAAGUGAUGAGGUGUCUUUCUCAGCACGUCGUGUCAAGAGGCACGUGGUGUCGGUUGGUCCUGAUGUUGCCGGUGUUCACGCUGGCUGCACCGGGUACAUUCGCGUCUCCCGGAUUUCUCCACCAUAAAAUUAUGGUACCUCAGACGAGUGGAAUCAAGCAGUAUUUGCCUUUUGGAGACUUAUUCCACAGAGCGCAGUGUCCUCAAGGUGCAUCCAUGUUGCAGCGUGUGUCAGAACUGCCGUCCUUGUCCAGGCUGAAGAACGCUGCCCGCGUGCACCACAUUUGCUCGUCCAACCGCCCUUCAGAGACAGCUGGGCUGCUUCUACACUUCGGCUGCUGUGGACGCUGCUGCUGUGACCAGGGGUGUACACACACCUACUGGAGCCUCUGCUUUCUGUUCUCUGGGGUCUAGGCCCAGAAGUGGACUUGCUGGAUCAUGCGGUAACUCUAUAUUUUCACUUUUUGAGGAGUCACCAUGCUGUUUCCAUAGUGACUGCACCACAUUUUACCGUCCCACCAACAGUCCACACAGGUUCCAGUUUCUCCAACGUUCUCACCAAUACUUACUCCCUGUUUUGUUUUUUGUGGUUUUGUUUUUUAAUAGUUUCCAUCCUAAUGUGUGUGAGGUGGUAUCUCACUGUGGCUCUUGCUUUGCAUUUCCCUAAUGAUUAGUGAUGCUGAGCAUCUUUUAGGUGUGUAAUGGCCAUUUGCAUAACUUCUUUAGAAAAAUGUCUAUUCAAGCCCUUUGCCCGUUUUGGAUUGGGUUUUGUUUGGAGUCUCCAUCAGUAGUGGUCCCUUUUUAAAGUUCUUUAUUUUGAAAAAUUUCAAAUUUGAGA
This is a non-coding RNA of Vicugna pacos (alpaca), 3709 nucleotides long. The record is from RefSeq and is a predicted model, not a curated record. Lineage: Eukaryota; Metazoa; Chordata; Mammalia; Artiodactyla; Camelidae.